This 389-nucleotide unclassified non-coding RNA is filed under the name Hevea brasiliensis (rubber tree). The record is from RNAcentral. Lineage: Eukaryota; Viridiplantae; Streptophyta; Magnoliopsida; Malpighiales; Euphorbiaceae.
UGGGGCACUUUCAGUCUCAUGCCCAAAUCUUGUAGAAAUGUGCAGUAGGAUUUACGUAAGUAAGUCUCCUUCUUCAAGUCAAUGCCGUCACAUCUGGAUGGAGAGUUUUCUUCGAUUUCCUUUCUAGAAAAGUACCAACGACUGCCUUCCUCUGGUUUUUCCUGAGAAUAAUUCUGCAGGUUUGUUCCAUGAUGAGAAGAGUCACCAGGCAGUGAAUUAGCCAUGUGUGUCCUUGCACAACUGAUGUAUCCAAAAUUUAUAUAAAAAAAUCUCUAUAUGCGACAACGGUGCUGCCUAAAUCACCAUGUCCUAUAGAAGCUCCCUUAUAUAGAGCCCAAAAGAAGAAAAUAAAGAAGAAUUCGACGAACGAACUCCAAGCUCGAACGAGU